UGGGGAAUCUUGCGCAAUGGGCGAAAGCCUGACGCAGCAACGCCGCGUGCGGGAUGAAGGCCUUCGGGUUGUAAACCGCUGUCGUAGGGGAGAAAGGGUCGUUGAAGAAACGACUUUGAUCUAUCCUAGGAGGAAGUCCGGGCUAAGUUCGUGCCAGCAGCCGCGGUAACACGAACCGGACAAACGUUAUUCGGAAUUACUGGGCUUAAAGGGUGCGUAGGCGGUGCGGUAAGUGCGGUGUGAAAUCCCACGGCUCAACCGUGGAAUUGCGCUGCAUACUGCCGUGCUAGAGGGAGACAGGGGUAAGCGGAACUGAUGGUGGAGCGGUGAAAUGCGUUGAUAUCAUCAGGAACACCGGUGGCGAAAGCGGCUUACUGGGUCUCUUCUGACGCUGAGGCACGAAAGCUAGGGUAGCGAACAGGAUUAGAUACCCCAGUAGUCCCUGAGCGGGCUGGCAAGGCGCAU
Molecule: ribosomal RNA, 465 nt
Filed under: uncultured bacterium
Lineage: Bacteria
Description: bacterial SSU rRNA
Rfam family: Bacterial small subunit ribosomal RNA
Source: RNAcentral